RNAcentral lists this long non-coding RNA (2441 nucleotides) under Sus scrofa (pig). Its description in RNAcentral is "lncRNA (ENSSSCG00005007469.1)". The record is from RNAcentral. Lineage: Eukaryota; Metazoa; Chordata; Mammalia; Artiodactyla; Suidae.
CCACUGAGCCACAAUGGGAACUCCUAUUUCACCUCUUUAAGGAAGAGAAUUUAAGGGGAGUUAAAUAGAUACAUUGAAGGUAUUAAGAUGGAAAAAGAAAGUCAAAACCUGAUUAAGGAAGAGAAAGGAAAAUAUAUGCCCAUGAGACCCAGCACUGAUUUGAACUCUGGCCUUUCCAGAAGACAGGGCAGAAGCGGGAACCCCAGGUCACGUGACCUGCCCUCCCCAGUGCAAGAGAGGCCCGAGGUCCCCCCAGAAAGAUAGUCACGUCCUGACUCUUCCGCAACACCUUGCACAAGUGCUCCCCAAAUUCAGGAGUGCACGUUAUUAUCAAUAAAGAAUCGAAUUACCAAAUAGUCCAAGGUAAAAAGAUUCAAGUCAGAUCGAUCCAGGAUAAUUCAGUUGAAGAAGACAAGCCACUGCUCGUCAGACACGUGCUUUCCUGGUGAUCUCACCUGAGAGAAGGGGAGAGUGGGGGUUCCCCGGGGUCGGGAGGGUGUCCCCUGGCUGCACUUCAGUGACCAACCCUUUUCUCCUCUGAUCUCGGGGAAGAGCUGGAGGACAGCAGUACCAGAGGACACCGCGUGGCGUCUCGGACGGCGCCGGAGGGCUGCCCCUCGCGGUCCGGGGGGCCAGAUUGACAUUCUGGCCAGAGGCUCUGAUGACAGGCCCCGUGAGCCCUCCUGCUGGUGGAGGGUGGUCCUUCUCCACAGGGUGACAAGUCACCAGAGUGCCUUCAGGAAGGCUCAGAUGUGCCUCAAUGAGCGGCUCUAGGUGACCCCUGCCCGGGUGACAUCGAGACUCGACCAUGCCGAUGGCCAACAGAAUUCUCUGCCAUGAUGGGAACCAUCUGCACUGUGUCAUUCUCCACGGCAGCUGCGAGUCCCACGUGGCUCGCGGGCUCUUGAAAUGUACAUGGCCGAGGAACUGAUGUUUAGACACGUGACUUGGUGUUAAUUAAUUUUCAUGAAUUUAAACAACCACGCAUGGCUAGGAGCCACUGUAUUGGGCAGAGCAACCCUGAAGCUCCAGGUCUCGGCACUGAUGGAAGGCUUCCAGGGAGCACAGUCUGUGGACAGGCGCUGCUCAGAACCUACCCAGAUCAACCUUAGGGAUGCUCGCGAGGGGGCCCCUUGGGAUACGUCAGAAGCCAAAGACCCCUCCCAGACACUUGAAUCAACUGGUCAGCUUAAUGAAACUACAUAGUAUUGACCCGACACGUUUUGGAGAAGGGUCUGCCAAACACACCCGUCGAGGUUUCAACAGAUCUGGGACUGGGCCAUCCUGGUGCUGGGGAACGAUGAAGCCCAACUGCUUCCCCGAGGCACCCCGAAUUCCCACAUAACCCACGGUCAUCAAACACCCGCAAGCAUGCGUGCGCUCUUGCUAAUGGCUAUGGCAGGAGAGCACGGAGAAAGUUCAUCUGAAUGUGGCAAUUAACUCCCACCUAAUGGUCUAGAAUAAAACACAGCUCUGUUUUCAACACUUGCGAUUAAGACCCGACAUGUCUGGAUGGCAUUUUGGCCUGCCCCUCACGCUUAGAGGGCUAAUAAAAUUCAGCCUGCGGAAAAGAAGCAAUGGCCAAUGAUUUCAGUUAGGUUUGGCCAUUAACUGACUUUGGUCCACAAAUAAAAAGGCCAAUGAAAGACGUAAGAAAGGUACCAACAGUUCUGGAUCCGUUUUUCCACACGUUGAAAGAGCACAACCGUUCCCUAAAAUGUUUAGAAACAUGAGUUCGGUUUUGUCAUGAUGCAUUAAAGCUGAUUUCGCGAGGAGAAAAGGACAACACUUUUUUCUAGUCUCAUAUAUAAUAACAAAUAGAACUUUGGGUUACUAAAGAACAUUCCUGGCAAGAGUGAAGGGAGGGAUUACGGGAGAGAAGCCUGGUGCUUGAACUGGAAGGAGCUUUGAUUCCAAGGAAGGCUGGGAGGUGGCGGGACGGCAGCAGGACUGAGAGCCUGGGCUGUGACCGUGGGCAUGAUGGGGCCAUGGGCACUGGUGGAACACCAAAUUCUCCUUGGCAAGAAUCUGCUGCUUAAAGAACAAACACCCAGGGCAUCCACCCAAACAAAUGCCAUGUCCCAAGGCAGGACGGGGUGAGGAUAUGGGAACAGAGAAAGAACUAGAGGAGUCCCUGAGAGCACCAGGGGAUACUGGUCAAAGAUGAGCCUAGAAAGAAUGCAGAGACGGAGUUCCCAUUGUAGCUCAGUGGAAAUGAAUCUGAGUAGAAACCAUGAGCGUGUGGGUUCAAUCCCUGGCCUUGCUCAGCAGGUUAAGGAUCCGGCAUUGCCAUGAGCUGUGGUCUAGGUUGCAGACGACGCUUGGAUCUGGAAUUGCUUUGGCUGUGGUGUAGGCUGGAGGCUGUAGUUCCAAUGUGACCACUAGCCCCCUAUGCUGCAGGUGCAGCCCUAAAAAGCAAAAAAAAAAAAAAAAAAAAAAAA